AGUGAACGCUGGCGGUAGGCCUAACACAUGCAAGUCGAACGGCAGCACAGUAAGAGCUUGCUCUUACGGGUGGCGAGUGGCGGACGGGUGAGGAAUACAUCGGAAUCUACUUUUUCGUGGGGGAUAACGUAGGGACACUUACCCUAAUCCCGCAUACGACCUACGGGUGAAAGCAGGGGAUCUUCGGACCUUGCGCGAUUGAAUGAGCCGAUGUCGGAUUAGCUAGUUGGCGGGGUAAAGGCCCACCAAGGCGACGAUCCGUAGCUGGUCUGAGAGGAUGAUCAGCCACACUGGAACUGAGACACGGUCCAGACGCCUACGGGAGGCAGCAGUGGGGAAUAUUGGACAAUGGGCGCAAGCCUGAUCCAGCCAUACCGCGUGGGUGAAGAAGGCCUUCGGGUUGUAAAGCCCUUUUGUUGGGAAAGAAAAGCAGCAGGUUAAUACCCCGCUGUUCUGACGGUACCCAAAGAAUAAGCACCGGCUAACUUCGUG
RNAcentral lists this ribosomal RNA (492 nucleotides) under uncultured bacterium. RNAcentral describes it as "partial 16S ribosomal RNA". It matches the Rfam family "Bacterial small subunit ribosomal RNA", at positions 29 to 507 of the family's 1533-position model. The record is from RNAcentral.